UAUGUAGUGUAUAGCUCAUGUCUCCUUUGUUGCAGCAGGGGACAGAUAAGCUCAGUACUUGAAUCCUGCUACAGAGGGCAGGACAAUACGUUGUGACUCAGGCACAGGGAUUCUGGCAUUUGAGCACACUAUCACAAGAUGUCAAUCACUCCGCAAAGUGAUUCCACGCAUGGGGAGCAAACACGAUCUAAACUCCGAGGACAGAGACCAGCACAACGCUAGCCAAGCUCCGGCCGUGUAGCCGGUGAUGGCCAUGAUUCAGUUAGCCCGCCGGAGCUAAUCUGCAUUUAUCUCGUGUCGUCCUCACCCCACUCACCCAGCAGGUGCCAUUCUCACCUGGGUCACUCUGGCUCCUGUCAGCGCUGCCAUUCCCAGGAUCGGUGAUGCAGAAGCCCAGAAGACCAACACAACCACCUUUUAUAGAGCGC
Clupea harengus (Atlantic herring) is the source of this 428-nucleotide long non-coding RNA. Lineage: Eukaryota; Metazoa; Chordata; Actinopteri; Clupeiformes; Clupeidae. The record is from Ensembl.